UACGGAGGAUGCAAGCGUUAUCCGGAAUGAUUGGGCGUAAAGCGUCCGCAGGUGGCAAUGUAAGUCUGCUGUCAAAGCGUCUGGCUCAACCAGAUAAAGGCAGUGGAAACUACAUAGCUAGAGUAAGGUAGGGGUAGAGGGAAUUCCUGGUGUAGCGGUGAAAUGCGUAGAGAUCAGGAAGAACACCGGUGGCGAAAGCGCUCUGCUGGACUGCAACUGACACUCAGGGACGAAAGCUAGGGGAGCGAAUGGG
This 253-nucleotide ribosomal RNA is filed under the name uncultured bacterium. RNAcentral's name for it is "partial 16S ribosomal RNA". It matches the Rfam family "Bacterial small subunit ribosomal RNA", at positions 524 to 776 of the family's 1533-position model. The record is from RNAcentral.